Oncorhynchus tshawytscha (Chinook salmon) is the source of this 904-nucleotide long non-coding RNA. The record is from Ensembl. Lineage: Eukaryota; Metazoa; Chordata; Actinopteri; Salmoniformes; Salmonidae.
GUAAGAGAGGGAGAGAAGUAAGAGAGGUGGGAGAGAGAGGAGAGGUAAGAGUGGGAGAGAAGAGAGAGAUAAGAGAGAGGGAAAGCGGUGAGAGGGAGAGAGGUAAGAGAGCCAAUAAAAGUACUGUCACGUAGGAUCUGCUGAUGACUGGCUUAGCGAGACAAUGAAUGUGACUGUGCGGUGGGAGGUGCACACACCCCAUGGAGUGUUGCUCUGCAGGCAGGCACUGGGCUGGACAGAUGAGCAGUGGCUUCACACCGGCAUUUUAGCAUCUGCCCUUGCAGCGCUCUGCCUGCCAUCCCACAUCAACAAUAACAUCAGCACAUCGAUCGAGAACCGUGUUGACCCAGGAUGGGUGUGUGCGAGUGUGAUUCUGAGAAAGUGACAGAGUGUGUGUGUUUCCUGCUCUCCAGUGGCCACAGCAGUGAGGGUCAUUUGUGACAUUUUGUGUCUCUACAAUCCCUCAUAUCGCUAAUGGAGCAUUGCCAUGACUCGUGGAGUGGGGGUUAUUCGGCAACGCAGGGGUGUGUGUGUAUGUGUGUGUGUGUGUGAGAGAGAACCUGCGCAGGGAGGGGUCGAGAGGCUAGGGGUUUUAACAGUAGGGAGAGAGGAGAGAUGGAGAGAAUGUAAGGAUAAACAUUGAGGGGACAGGGCUGUUUAGCCAAGUGUCAGCUGGAGAUGAUGGACGAUGUUGACUUGAGAACUGGCUGCAUGCGAUAGGCCCAAAGAAUGAAGUGAAACAGCCAACAUCCAGGCCCUCGGACAUCUAAAAAUGGAGGCAAAAAUUGUGGAAUAAAAUGCCUUGGGAACCUCUGGAGGAACACAGAUAGUGAAAUGAACCAGAGGAUGUGAGAUGAAUAGCAACCUCUCCUCUGCUCCUCGCAACCUACAAAAGCAGACCACA